Caenorhabditis elegans is the source of this 21-nucleotide non-coding RNA. The record is from Ensembl. Lineage: Eukaryota; Metazoa; Nematoda; Chromadorea; Rhabditida; Rhabditidae.
UUUCUUCUUUGAUUCGUUUUU